GACGAACGCUGGCGGCGUGCCUAAUACAUGCAAGUAGAACGCUGAAGGAGGAGCUUGCUUCUCUGGAUGAGUUGCGAACGGGUGAGUAACGCGUAGGUAACCUGCCUGGUAGCGGGGGAUAACUAUUGGAAACGAUAGCUAAUACCGCAUAAUAGUAGAUGUUGCAUGACAUUUGCUUAAAAGGUGCAAUUGCAUCACUACCAGAUGGACCUGCGUUGUAUUAGCUAGUUGGUGGGGUAACAGCUCACCAAGGCGACGAUACAUAGCCGACCUGAGAGGGUGAUCGGCCACACUGGGACUGAGACACGGCCCAGACUCCUACGGGAGGCAGCAGUAGGGAAUCUUCGGCAAUGGACGGAAGUCUGACCGAGCAACGCCGCGUGAGUGAAGAAGGUUUUCGGAUCGUAAAGCUCUGUUGUAAGAGAAGAACGAGUGUGAGAGUGGAAAGUUCACACUGUGACGGUAUCUGACCAGAAAGGGACGGCUAACUACGUG
RNAcentral lists this ribosomal RNA (495 nucleotides) under uncultured bacterium. RNAcentral's name for it is "partial 16S ribosomal RNA". It matches the Rfam family "Bacterial small subunit ribosomal RNA", at positions 28 to 507 of the family's 1533-position model. The record is from RNAcentral.